AGAGUUUGAUCCUGGCUCAGGAUGAACGCUAGCGGCAGGCCUAAUACAUGCAAGUCGAACGGUAAAUAUUGUAGCAAUACGAUAUGAGAGUGACGUACGGGUGCGUAACACGUAUGCAACCUACCCUUUACAGGCGGAUAGCUCGGGGAAACUCGAAUUAACCCGCCGUGGUAUAACUGAAUGGCAUCAUUUGAUUAUUAAAACUCCGGUGGUAAAGGAUGGGCAUGCGUCUGAUUAGUUAGUUGGCGGUGUAACGGACCACCAAGACGAUGAUCAGUAGGGGAACUGAGAGGUUGAUCCCCCACACUGGCACUGAGAUACGGGCCAGACUCCUACGGGAGGCAGCAGUAGGGAAUAUUGGUCAAUGGAUGCAAGUCUGAACCAGCCAUGCCGCGUGCAGGAAGAAGGCCUUAUGGGUUGUAAACUGCUUUUGUCAGGGGAUAAAAUGAGCGUGCGCGCUUAAUUGAAGGUACCUGGCGAAUAAGCCACGGCUAACUACGUGCCAGCAGCCGCGGUAAUAC
This 521-nucleotide ribosomal RNA is filed under the name uncultured bacterium. Its description in RNAcentral is "bacterial SSU rRNA". It matches the Rfam family "Bacterial small subunit ribosomal RNA", at positions 8 to 526 of the family's 1533-position model. The record is from RNAcentral.